GGGAAAACACGUUUGUUUUUCUUACAAUCAGAAUGAAUUCUAGCAGACAGAUUCUCCUCUUACUUUGUCUCAGGCAGAGAAAUCAGUCACAAUAGGUGGAAAUUAGAUCUUUGUCUUUGCUUUUCGUAAAGAAAUGUGAUUGCCUGCCUUCCUCAAUUUGCCUUUAAUCCUGGAGUUCUACAAGCCAAGGAUAGACUUUGCUCAUCUUCAUCCAGGUCCAAAUGAUACCACGAGAUUUGUCUUGUGUCCAUCUCACUGCUCUACAAUCUUCUGUGAUGGUGAAAUUCUCAGAUUCCUCUUGUGCCCUGAUGACAUCACAGAACACGGUAUCACAAACUGCGCCCUUCAAAUUACAAGUCUAUUUUGACCAAGACGUCUCUCCCUCCGUCCUGCCGUUUUCUUGUUCACUGUCCACGACUUGGUGUUUUCAGCUCGAGGUUGCACAUGCCACUCGAGAUUCGGGGAAGGUCCUUAGUGAUUAAAACCUUGUACAAUCAUCAGGGACAUAAGUAGAAGUAACUCGGUCCUCAGCAUCCAGUGGGAGGGGCAGAUAAAGCAUCUUGUCCCGUGAGUGUGUCUGAGAAAUGUUUACAGACAGAAAUUGGGGAUAGGAGAUCAUCCCCAAGAGAAGUGCGAGAAAAUUCAGUUGCCAGGAAGUAACGAAAGGAACUUUUUAAGUGUCUGGGAAGCACAGUAACUUUAACUCUAGACACUGUGGCUCUGCUUUCUAUUACUCUAAUCCCCUUAAGGCCUCACCUAUGUCUAAUACAUCUUUGGUAACUCCAAACCUAACUUAACCUAAUAACUUGGCAUAACGUAUAUUCAAUAAAUAUUUUCUGAGUUAAUAACA
This 850-nucleotide long non-coding RNA is filed under the name Mus musculus (house mouse). RNAcentral's name for it is "predicted gene, 34225". Lineage: Eukaryota; Metazoa; Chordata; Mammalia; Rodentia; Muridae. The record is from RNAcentral.